Molecule: long non-coding RNA, 1050 nt
Filed under: Homo sapiens (human)
Lineage: Eukaryota; Metazoa; Chordata; Mammalia; Primates; Hominidae
Description: HSALNT0375851
Source: RNAcentral
GAAGUUCCAGGAUGAAGGAUUACAAGAGGUUUGUAAGAAAACUCCAGGGGUACAGUGGUUCAGAAAUGGACAUAACAGCCUAGAGGAAGACCUGGGAGAAGCCCUUGAAUAACCAUUGGUCCAUUGUGCAUCUAGGGUCCUUAACAAAAAGAUAAAAGACAAGUGUAUAAUAUGUUGGAAAAAAAAUUUCCCAUUCCCACACAGUCUAAUGAGAAAAUAUCAGACAAUCCAAAUUGAGGAGCAUUCUACAAAAUGUCCAGUACUCUUCAAAAGUGUCAAGAUCCCCCAAAACAAGACAAGACUAAACAAGACAAGACUAAAAAACUGUCAUAGAUCAGAGAAGAAUGGAGAGACCUGGUGACUAAAUGCUUUGGGCUAUCCUGGAUUGGAUUCUAGAAUAGCAAAUAAGCAACUUUCAGUAAAUACUUUUGUAAUUGCCCAUGAGUUGUCAAGCACUCAUGAGAUGAAGUUCCAACUCUACAGAUGAAAGCCCUGUUUUUGAAUCAAGCACUUCAUGAGUAAGGAUUUCACAAAGCUGCAAAAUCUGCUCUUGAGAACCCCUGACAACUAAAUAUUCCAUGGCUUCCACUGAUAAUCAUGCUGCUUGUCAUAUACCAGGAGGUAUCAACAAUCACCAAGCUCUCGUGCAUUAACUACCUGUUUCACCUCCAUUGAGGAUAUGUCUCAGGUCAAUAAUUGGAUCUAUGAAACCUGGCUGUGAUAAAUACCAAGGAAUUCUAUGCCAGUUCACAGCAGUAAGAGUGCAGAAGUGCCAGAAGCUGAUGUGCCCAAGAACUGAGCCCAAGUCUUAGCACAAGAUCUCCAUCCAUCAAAUAACUGUAAUUUAUCACCCAGACUGAGACAUUUCUGAGAGUGAAAGGGAGCUUCAUGAGUAAUUAUUCCAGAACAACUGGAGUAUAUUGGGACUGUCUUAGACAAACUAAAAGGCAAAGUCAUUCUACUGCCAUUCUACUCCCAAACUUCUAGACUCUGGCUGAUUCUCUCCACAGACCUCUUCCCGGUGAAAAUAUCCUCCUCUUUGUAGCAUAU